AUUGAACGAGAAAAGUAAAUAGAAAAAGUUGGAGAUGGCAAUAUUUAUAGGGGUGAACCCGGAAUCAUAGGUGUAUAGAGCUUAACACUAUUAUGAAAUCAUCGAUUUACCUAAAGAGGAAAAGGUGAAGGUGGUUGUGAUCAACUUCGUGUAAGAUGGAGUAAAUUAGUUCCGGUGUGGAGUAAUAAUUGGAAGAAGGUGGUUUCAUGGGAG
RNAcentral lists this long non-coding RNA (213 nucleotides) under Cucumis sativus (cucumber). RNAcentral's name for it is "long non-coding RNA (CSAT_LNC000614)". The record is from RNAcentral. Lineage: Eukaryota; Viridiplantae; Streptophyta; Magnoliopsida; Cucurbitales; Cucurbitaceae.